RNAcentral lists this unclassified non-coding RNA (528 nucleotides) under Hevea brasiliensis (rubber tree). Lineage: Eukaryota; Viridiplantae; Streptophyta; Magnoliopsida; Malpighiales; Euphorbiaceae. The record is from RNAcentral.
CCGUCACUUUCAUGCCAUGAAACCCACAUGAGCAUUCCUGAUUCAUCCAGCACCAUUCGAAACAGAACAGAACUAUCAUCAAGAGAGUAGGAAAAGGAUAUCUUUGUUAACGAAGCUGAAGUUGUAUAUAAUUGGUAUUGGUCUCCAUGGCCAUGGUGUGCCUCGCCAGUAAGGUUUGGAGCCCUCGUACAGAAAAAAUUGUGGUGAGCCAAUUGGGUUGAGCUUCAGUAAGUAGACACCAAUUCCAGGAUCAUCUGUUGAUCUCCACGAUGUCAGGAACCAGUUCAGACCUGUUUUACGGUCAAGCCCAAGUUUCAUUCCUGGUAGAAAAGUAUUAGUAGGAUAAUCAAAGCUCUGCCAUACAAUUCUUCCACUUAUACCUUGGACCAGAACCAAAUUUCCCGAAUCCAAGAGGUGAGCUACACAAGCAUCUGCUACAUCCAUUGAAACAUUUGUAGACCAUACUGGAACUUCUUCAUCUCUAUUACCGUAUAGAACAAGAUUUCCAUAUUGGUUGAUGGAAAGAAC